GACUCUGUGACAAACGUUCAGCCCCUGCCAGCCCUCACCAGGGGCUCUGUGCUCUCAGCCUUUUAGGAAACGCUGCUUCCAUCACCUCAGCUGUGAACCUGCAGCCUGCCCAGCUGAGGGGAGCAGAACCGCCAGUGUCUGGGCCAGUCCCAGGAGGGUUUGGGGCAGGCAGCACAGCCCGUGGCUCUGGUGGCUGUCACCUCCCAGACCACCCAGCCCUGCUCCGGGACCGCGGCACACGGCAGCGAGGGAUCCACGGAGUCUCCAGCCCUCAGGGGAGCAGAAUUCGUCAGGUCUUUUGGGGACUGAGGGACAUCCAGAGUGUCUGAAAGCUCCCCAGCCACCAUCAGAACACCCAGAGCUCUGCAGCCCAAUCCUCCCGACUGACUGGGCUCUGGAUUGAAAAACCCAACAGUCCCCAGCCCAGCUUCCUUCAGGAAGGUGCAGGGGGAGCGCAGCGCUGGAACCAAGAGACCUCGGCUCGGACGGGACGGCGCUCACCAGACCCCUCCAGGCGUCUGCACCUGGGAUUUCAUCACACGGAGGAUGCAGGUCCGGCUGGAAGAGCUGCACUCUGCCCACACGAAGGAGGUGGCCGGUGCCAGAGGGGCUGGGGCUCAAUGGGGUGUGGAAACCUCUGGAGAGCCCAGCAGGAUCAGCUGUGACCCAGCCAGGCACUCAGCUGGGCUUGUCCCUCUUCUGCUGGACUUGCUCUGGCCACAUGCAAUCAGCCCAUCACUCCAAACCUUGCCUGCAUCUGUGUGUUCCUGCCAGUGAAUAGAGGGGAAAUGAGUCUGUGAAACUUGCCCCGUCCCAAAUCCCUCGGUGCUGCUAAACCUUCCUCCCCUGCCUGCACAGACACUCCCCGGGCAGUGGUCACCCCAGCACCUCCUGCCUGGCAGAUCCCUGCAGACACUCUGCCCCUGGCAUUGCCUCUGCUCCCUCCUCCUUGUUUUCUGCCUGAAUGGAUUUGGAUUAGACAAGACCUUCCCCAAAUGCACACAAUGUCCCUGCCAGUGCACAAAUACACCAGAGAAUACCAGCUUUCCACAACAGUAUUUCUAUGAUUUGACCAGACUGGCACCAGGUUAAUUAAAAAACCCCACAAUAUUUAAAUGCAGUUUCAUCAGGAGAAGUGCAAAAUGCCUCCAUAAGAAUUUCUGCCAGGACUUUUCAAACCCCGCAAAGCACAAUUAGACACAGUCAAAUAUUGCCCUGGUUAAAGACUAUUAGUUUUCCUUACAUUUGUCAUGAAUUAAUUUUUUC
Long non-coding RNA from Ficedula albicollis (Collared flycatcher), 1266 nucleotides. RefSeq lists it as uncharacterized. The record is from RefSeq and is a predicted model, not a curated record. Lineage: Eukaryota; Metazoa; Chordata; Aves; Passeriformes; Muscicapidae. The transcript is spliced from 3 exons.